Long non-coding RNA from Ahaetulla prasina, 2422 nucleotides. RefSeq lists it as uncharacterized. The record is from RefSeq and is a predicted model, not a curated record. NCBI's taxonomy places the organism in Eukaryota, Metazoa, Chordata, Lepidosauria, Squamata, Colubridae. The transcript has 3 exons.
CCUGGAGAAAGAUCAUUACAUCUGGCACAAUAUGCCCAUGAAUGUUGAAAUCAGCCUUCUCUAACCUGGAAUCCUUCAGGCCUAUUGGAUUACAGCUCCCAUCAUUCCACACCAGUCUGAGCACACUGAAUUGUUGGGACAGUAGUUCAGCAUAUCCAGAAAGCUUCAGAAUGGAGAAGGAUGCGUGGUUGAAACUUCCUCCUGGGCUGAAUAAGGCUGAGCCUGAAACAUGUAGAACAUUGAGAGCGUCACAAUACGAUCCAACGGCCUUCUGCAUCAAGUUAUGUGACACAAUAACAGCCACAUGAGAAAGAGCUGAUAGUUCAGUCCAAGGAGGAGGAAUUGACUAAAACAUUAACACAAAUAAUAGAAGGUGAGAUGCACAGUUGGUUUGCCUCAGCCAAGUAUGAAAUAUUGCAGCAAUACUUCGUGUUACCUGCAGCUCACCCUGAUCUGCUAGAAAAGCUCAACUGCUUUCCUUCAGCCUUGAGAGAGAAGCAAUCAGAGAAACAAAGGUGGUAAGAAAAAGAAUGAGUAGCCUGACCUACUUCAGACUCCAUUCCCUGAUGGAUUCGCCCCUACUCAGAACAUGGAACUCAGCACAGUUCACCUAUCCCAUUACUGCAACCUUGUGUAGCUUGGCAUCUUCUUGAUCUCUUCAACUGCAACUCCCAUGAUUGCUGACCAAAAUCUAUUCUCAAGGAUAAACUCUAUGUUAUUAAAAGAAAAAAAAGUUUACAUUAGCUAUAAUGUUUUUAGAGGAAUGCAGCCCAGUCACAUUGUUUUGAAUUGGACAGCCUUAUAACUCUUAAAAAUAAAUGAGUAAAUAAGUAAGCAAGCAAGCAAACAGGCUGUCCUAAGCUGGUUGAAUUUAUAAUUCAAGAAAACUUCUCUAGAAAAGAGAAAGUCAAAAGAACCAGGUUUUAUGUGGUGCUGAAUUCACACAUCGCUCUAACCAGUGGGUUCUUUUAACCAUGGUUGGUUGAACAGUCCACAGCGGCUAGAGUCACAGAACACACUAUACUAUAAAACUUGAGUUAGCAACCACAGUAUCUGGGUUCACACGGGACAUUAAGCUAUGAGGGGAUUUUCUUGGCUUUGUCUUGGUGACUUCAGUUCAUACGAGAAGUUGUACUGCUCAGAUUUCUUCAUCUUUACCACACUUGAACAAUUUGAUUUUCUUUGCAAUGUGUUGCUUGUGCCUUCUUGUAUCCCACUGUCUCCUUUAUUUCAUACCUGGAGGGAGGGAAGGAAGCUGGGAAGAUGACUUGAGACUGGGCAGAACACAGGGACAUCCUGAAACUGGUGAAGCUAACGCCAGUUUGUUAAAUUAAAUCCAUGUUUAAAAUAUGUCCCAGUUCUGAAGCACUCCUUGCAUUUUGAUUAAUGAGAAGACAACUCUGCAAAUUUGAAGUGUGCUUAGACAUUUCAGUUACUGUGCAGCAAAUGAUGCUAUGUACUAUUUUUGAUUAUGUGGCAAGGGGUUAUGUAACACAAAAUUAUAUGUCCUGUCCCAGAUUGUGGCUAAUAAAAAGACAGAACACCAAGUUCAGUCAGUGGUUCUUCAGCUUAAUGAGGAAUAACUUCAGAAGCGUAGAUUUCUUAUGUGUACAACGCUUCCUAGCAGGGUGUUCUUUCUAUUUCUGUUUUUAAAGUAACUAUGGCCCUAGUAGGGUGAUUGGAUUGGAACAGUUGUGAUAGGCAAGGCUGGGAUGGAUGCUUGAUACCAAGCAUCUGCUACUCCUGUUCUAAUCAGAUACUGUAUUUUUUGGAGUAUAAGAUGCAUUUUUCCCCCCUAAAAGAGGCUGAAAAUAUGGGUGUGUCUUAUACUCCAAAUGUAGCUUUUUCAAAGCUUUUUUUUCAUCCCUAAUGAAGCGCUAGUGAAUGAACAAGCUUUCCCCACUUUGCCUGCUCCCUCCAACUCUCAGCUGUGCUUUAGCUUUUUUUCAGCCUAAGUGAGUGAAGCAAUCUUCCUGCUUUGCCUGCUCCCUCCAACUCUCAGCUGUGCUUUAGAAGCUUUUUUUCAGCCCUAACGAGGCACUAGCUAGUGAAGCGAUCUCUGUGUUUUGCCUGCUUUUCUCAUUGCUGCUCCCGCUCAGCUGUGCUGUAGAAGCUGUUUUUUAUCCCUAAGCAGGGGAUAAAAAGCGCGCAUGUGCGCUCAAAACCAGCAAACUAAUUUGCUGAAGCUGACCCGACUAAGGAUGCUAGCCAGAUGAAUACCUGGAAGGCAGAUUUUUUUUUUCCUGUUUUCCUCCCAAAAAAUUAAGCUGCAUCUUACACUCCAGUGCAUUUUAUACUCCGAAAAAUAUGGUAAUAUGCAGAAUUUUGAUUAGCUUUAUAUAGAACUGUUAUUUUUGUGAGAUGUGCAGCCAUACAGUAUAAAUUUGAUAUAUAAAUAAAACUAAUGGCAAAUUGAAAACUU